Molecule: transfer RNA, 78 nt
Filed under: Cellulomonas algicola
Lineage: Bacteria; Bacillati; Actinomycetota; Actinomycetes; Micrococcales; Cellulomonadaceae
Description: tRNA-Phe
Source: RNAcentral
AGUGGAGCGUGGCGGCGGGCCGCAGCGCGUAGAAGACGCGCUUGAGGUGGACCGCGGCACCGUCCGCGGCUCCGCUGC